AGUCGUAACAAGGUUUCCGUAGGUGAACCUGCGGAAGGAUCAUUAUCGUAUAACGGAGGUGCCGGGGCUGUCGCUGACUUUGUGCACGCUCCGGUGCUCUCUUACAAUCCAUCUCACCCCUUUGUGAAUCACCGCGUGGGUGCUCUCCUUUUGGUUUGUUCCAAAAGGGGGCAUUUGCGUUUUUAUACAAAACCACUGCAUGUGUAGAAUGUCUUACUAUUUGUGAUAAUGCACAAUCAAUACAACUUUCAACAACGGAUCUCUUGGCUCUCGCAUCGAUGAAGAACGCAGCGAAAUGCGAUACGUAAUGUGAAUUGCAGAAUUCAGUGAAUCAUCGAAUCUUUGAACGCACCUUGCGCCCCUUGGAAUUCCGAGGGGCACACCCGUUUGAGUGUCGUGAACAUCCUUCAACCUUUCUUGGUUUCUUGACCAGGGAAGGCUUGGACUUUUGGGGGUCUUUCAUUGCUGGCCUCUUUGAAGCCAGCUCCUCCUAAAUGGAUUAGUGUGGUCUGCUUUGCCGAUCCUUGACGUGAUAAGAUGUUUCUACGUCUUGGGUUUCGCACUGUCGCUUCAGACCCCGCUUCUAACCGUCUUGCAUUCAAGACAGAGUUUUAAACCUUGACCUCAAAUCGGGUGAGACUACCCGCUGAACUUAAGCAUAUCAAUAAGCGGAGGAAAAGAAACUAACAAGGAUUCCCCUAGUAACUGCGAGUGAAGCGGGAAAAGCUCAAAUUUAAAAUCUGGUGG
This 747-nucleotide unclassified non-coding RNA is filed under the name uncultured Russula. RNAcentral's name for it is "sequence contains ITS1, 5.8S rRNA gene and ITS2". The stretch from base 244 to 397 matches the Rfam family "5.8S ribosomal RNA". Lineage: Eukaryota; Fungi; Basidiomycota; Agaricomycetes; Russulales; Russulaceae. The record is from RNAcentral.